GCAAGACGGACCGAAGCGAAAGCAUUUGCCAAGAAUGUUUUCUCUGAUCAAGAACGAAAGUUAGAGGUUCGAAGGCGAUCAGAUACCGCCCUAGUUCUAACCAUAAACGAUGCCAGCCAGCAAUCCGCCGAAGUUCCUCCGAUGACUCGGCGGGCGGCUUCCGGGAAACCAAAGCUUUUGGGUUCCGGGGGAAGUAUGGUUGCAAAGCUGAAACUUAAAGGAAUUGACGGAAGGGCACCACCAGGAGUGGAGCCUGCGGCUUAAUUUGACUCAACACGGGAAACCUCACCAGGCCCGGACACCGGGAGGAUUGACAGAUUGAUAGCUCUUUCUUGAUUCGGUGGGUGGUGGUGCAUGGCCGUUCUUAGUUGGUGGAGCGAUUUGUCUGGUUAAUUCCGAUAACGAACGAGACUCUAGCCUGCUAACUAGUCGCUUCCGGCAUCCUUUUGCGCUGCCGGCGACUUCUGAUCUUCUUAGAGGGACAGGCGGCUUCUAGCCGCACGAGAUUGA
Molecule: ribosomal RNA, 510 nt
Filed under: Perisphaeria sp. MNHN BL122
Lineage: Eukaryota; Metazoa; Arthropoda; Insecta; Blattodea; Blaberidae
Description: SSU rRNA
Rfam family: Eukaryotic small subunit ribosomal RNA
Source: RNAcentral